Molecule: ribosomal RNA, 511 nt
Filed under: uncultured bacterium
Lineage: Bacteria
Description: bacterial SSU rRNA
Rfam family: Bacterial small subunit ribosomal RNA
Source: RNAcentral
GAGUUUGAUCCUGGCUCAGGAUAAACGCUGGCGGCGCACAUAAGACAUGCAAGUCGAACGAACUUAAUUUUAAUAUUUAUAUUAAAAAGCGGUUAGUGGCGGACUGGUGAGUAACGCGUAAGCAAUCUGCCUAUCAGAGGGGAAUAACAGUGAGAAAUCAUUGCUAAUACCGCAUAUGCCAUAAGAAUCACAUGAUUCUAGUGGGAAAGGAGCAAUCCACUGAUAGAUGAGCUUGCGUCUGAUUAGCUAGUUGGUGGGGUAACGGCCUACCAAGGCGACGAUCAGUAGCCGGACUGAGAGGUUGAACGGCCACAUUGGGACUGAGAUACGGCCCAGACUCCUACGGGAGGCAGCAGUCGGGAAUAUUGCGCAAUGGAGGAAACUCUGACGCAGUGACGCCGCGUAUAGGAAGAAGGUUUUCGGAUUGUAAACUAUUGUCGUUAGGGAAGAUAAAAGACAGUACCUAAGGAGGAAGCUCCGGCUAACUACGUGCCAGCCGCCGCGGUAAUUC